RNAcentral lists this long non-coding RNA (1452 nucleotides) under Homo sapiens (human). RNAcentral's name for it is "long non-coding RNA NONHSAT079028.2". Lineage: Eukaryota; Metazoa; Chordata; Mammalia; Primates; Hominidae. The record is from RNAcentral.
UUUUUGUUUCUGUUUCAUGUAGGGGUUCUGUCUGAGCAGACAGCUAAGAGCAAAAGAAGUAGGGUCAGGCACAGGUAGGGUGACUCAGGUGAGUUGGCCCAGUUCCUGGGAGGAGAAAACUAGGAAGAAUGGGGAAUAAGUGGGGCUUGCUUCAUAAAUGUGAGAGGGCUAGGAAAAAAAAAUUCACCAAGAUAGUUUACCUGUCACAUGACAAGUGGGAGUUUGUAGAGAGAGAGAGACCGGAGAGCUGUGCAAAGUGGAUACUGGAGACAUACAGGUAAGAACAAAGGAAACAAACAAAAACCUAAAUACUUAAAAAAAAUAAAUAUUUUAGUCAUCCCUAGCCCACGAGGUCAAGGUCUGCCCAGAAGGCUGCCGACCAAUAACGCUCACCCUCCUGCGCCCGGUAGUGAGGACCUGGGACAAAUCGCAGUCUGUGUCUUCGUUACAAAAUUGCCAUCAUUGCCCAGUGGUCCAGUGACGUCACGGAAGAGGCCGAGGCUCAUUCUCCUCCCUCUAAUCACCCCCUCGCCAGUUAGCCAUGGAAUAGAAGAAAACAGCUUGGGGGGUGCGGGGAGGGUCUUCUCCAGCUGUAAUGCCAGCUAAGGUGCUUUGGUAGCAAAGCUGGGGGUGAGGAGGCACAGGCUCCUGGACGGAGCCAGGCUCCUGGACGGAGGCCGCUCAGAGUCUCUGCGGCGUCCGCUCGGUCCGCACGUGCUGCAGCACUACCUCCUUGGAAGGGGCCGCGCACUUGUACUCCAUCUUGGCCCUGGCGGCGCCCUGCUUCUUGCGCAGGUGGCAGAGGAGCGCCAAAAGCGCCACCACCAGGCACAGGCUCGCGAUGGAGAUGCCUAUGAGCAAGCCCGAAUGCACGAGCCCCACGGCCGGAGGAGUCAAGGUGGAGCCGGGCGUCGGGCUGGGCGGGGGCUCGCCAGAGCCGCUGUCGCCACCGUCCACCUUGCCGGAGUCACAGUCGGUGCCAAUGUGGCGGGCAAGGGCCGAGUCGGGCCCGCAGAUGCACUCGAAGGUACCGGGGAGGUUGUGGCACACCCCGGAGCAGAAGCCGCCGUUUUCGCACUCGUCGAUGUCCGUGCAGAUGAAACCGUCGUCCAGGAUGUAGCCUUCAGGGCACUCACAGCUAGCCUGGGUGUUGGGGUCGCAGUCGGCUGGACAGGCAGUCUGGUUGCAAAACAUCUGGCACCUGUGCGGCUCGUGGGGAAUGGGCGCGAAGCCCUCGGCGCAGACGCAGAGGUAGCUAGUUUGGUUCAGGGGCUGGCACUGGUACUCGCAGUUGGCUCUGAAGCACGGGUCCACGGGCUCCACACACUCGCCGUCCACCAGGUCGUAGUUAGGGUAGCAGUGGCACUCGAAGCCACCCUGUGUGUUGACACAGCGCUGCGGACACGGACUGGGCUCCAGUAUGCAGUCAUCCACGUCCUCGCACCGGUGUUG